RNAcentral lists this transfer-messenger RNA (349 nucleotides) under pig gut metagenome. It matches the Rfam family "transfer-messenger RNA". From Rfam's summary of the family: Bacterial tmRNA, also known as 10Sa RNA or SsrA, is named for its dual tRNA and mRNA-like properties. Its role is to liberate the mRNA from a stalled ribosome. The record is from RNAcentral.
GUAAAGGUUUCGACAGGGAAUCUGCAGGUGGAGAAGCUAUCCGAAGCCGAUCGUCAAACGGCAAACCUAAAUAUAAACGCUAAUAAUAAUAGAGAAUUAGCUCUGGCUGCCUAAACGCAGCCAGCGUCGCCUCACUUGUACCCAUGCUCGUGAGAUACGGCGUCGAGAUCAUGGGAAACGACACGGAGAGGGCCAUGGCUCCGCGGGCGUAUCAGUGGAUACCGAUGACACAGGAUUGCUGAUUGUCCUGUUUCGUGAGGGAAGCGCCGUAAGGCACAACAACCAGCUACGAUAGUAGAAGGACACUGAAUGGUUUUUUGGACACGGGUUCGACUCCCGUCUAAUCCAC